UUAGUUAAUUCAUUUCCUUACAACAAAGUCUGGCCAAUCAUUUCCCCGAGCUGCCGUUGUUGCCACACAUUGAUUGCUCAAGUACGAAGGAGAAGAUGACACAACGGGCCCCUCGGUCCGCCCACAGCUCGGAGAGGUAGAGAGAGAGAGACUGCAUGACAUCGCAGUAUUGGAUUUUUAUUUUAUUUCAUGGUUUUUCCGAUUGUUAGGGUUUAAUGUAAUUACCUCGGGCAGCACAGACAGAGUCGGAGGGGACUGUACAGUAGUCGAAGAAGAAGAAGAAGGCCCGUGGUCGAGGCGGCAAAACCUUGUCCGACCUAUACGAGGAAGAUCUCGUUCCAGAAGAUGAAUGUGAAUCUGAUGUUGACUGCACAGAGAGUUGGGCCCUCUGGAGCAAACACACGGACGGUGUUGGUCUUCCACACCCGGCGGCCCCUACCUGAGCAGACUGGAGAGCGGGUGAGAGGAGGCGCCGUGCCCGCCGCCGGCGCCGCUUCCCCCGGUGCCCGACAGCCCGCUCCCGGUGCCGGCGGUCUGCCGCUUCCCGGAGAGGAGCUUCUCCACCGCGGCCAGGUUCCCCGUGCGCGCCGCUUCGAGGAGCUCCUGCUCCUUCCCCAUCGCGGAAUCCCGGGAAAAACACAACAGGAGGAGGACGAGGGAGGAGGAGGAGG
Scophthalmus maximus (turbot) is the source of this 671-nucleotide long non-coding RNA. RefSeq lists it as uncharacterized. Lineage: Eukaryota; Metazoa; Chordata; Actinopteri; Pleuronectiformes; Scophthalmidae. The transcript has 4 exons. The record is from RefSeq and is a predicted model, not a curated record.